Molecule: long non-coding RNA, 92 nt
Organism: Myripristis murdjan (pinecone soldierfish)
Lineage: Eukaryota; Metazoa; Chordata; Actinopteri; Holocentriformes; Holocentridae
Exons: 3
Source: RefSeq, a predicted model, not a curated record
ACAAAAACGAGCCAAAGGAGCCCAGUGCUGCAGAAAUUCACCAGAGAUUGAAGUGUGCCUCUGCUCCACUGGUAUAGGUGUGUGUGUGUGUG